RNA transcript from Arachis duranensis, 1999 nucleotides. RefSeq lists it as uncharacterized. Lineage: Eukaryota; Viridiplantae; Streptophyta; Magnoliopsida; Fabales; Fabaceae. The transcript is spliced from 5 exons. The record is from RefSeq and is a predicted model, not a curated record.
GUUUUUCGCGGACCAAAGGAUUGGCUGGGUGAGAAAAAGCGGGGUUUGCAUACGAUCUUCAAUAACCGAAACCCUAGCCUACGUCUGCCUUCUAUCUCCCAGCCUUCUACAUCACAAACAAAUAAAUCCUUUCUUCUCUGUGUUCAUAUUGUUGAUGAUGGAGUCGGCGGAAACAGGAGAAUGCCUGUGGAUGGUGACAGACGACUACAUCUUUGGCAUCCGCGUUGAGAAGUUAGAAAAAUUGGGGAAGAAUGAGGAUAGGGAUUGGAAAUCCCAUCUUGAGCAGGCUCCGUUUGAUUUCUGUUUGAAUCUUCCAGAGUCCAGCAUGCCGGAUCACUUUAUCUUCGACUCGAAAUUUUUCUUAGUCGGUAAGCAAACCGAGUCUGGCACCAAGAUCUACCAAAUCUCCUAUGUCGGUGGCAACACGUUGGGCAUAUCUGAGGCAGUAGAGACGGGCGCAAUCCCUCCGCUACCGACCGAAGACUUCCUUUUCCUUGCAAACAUUAAAGAUGAGGUUUACUUGUUGGAGCUUGGUGCGGUACCACUGUUAGGAAGAAAGACGAGGUUAUGGGUUUUAUGUCCCAAUCCCCGUCCCCCGAACUGGCAUUCCGCGCCCGAUCCUCCAACCGAAGUCAACUCUGAUUAUUGUAAUUUUCCUCUUUGUUUUGUGCUAAAUGAUAAAUUCUUUUUGCAUCGCCUGUCCGCACCAGGAAUUGCAUAUCUCUACGAUCCCCAACCUAAAGCAUGGAUUAAACUGGAGCGCACAUCUUUUGAUCCUGGUUAUGCUCUUUUCCUGCGUGUGCCGUCCCUUGGGGAUGUAGGCGAUGGCAGUGUGGUGCUGACAUGGAAACUGAAGGGUCUUCCCGUACGUGGUGUGAAAUAUGACAUACAGGCUUUGCUGGUGGAUAAUAAAGAUUAUUGCAUUCUUCGCCAUCAAGGCCUUGAUGAGUUGUGUGAGGCGAUCCAACCAUCAUUCUUUGAUGAUUUUUCCUCUGAGCUCAACUUGGUUGACCUUGGCAACAGCAAAGUAUGUGUUACCAUCUCUGGUCUCGCAGAAGGCAUUCCGUCCUUUUGCAUUUUAGUAGUUGAAUUAGGGUUGGUACAAGAGGAGCAAAGGUUCUUAUCUGUGCGUGUACUCGUGAAUCGAGUCUUCGAUACGAGGCCUUAUUUCUUAGGUGACCGCGUUCAAGUGCUCUACACCUCCUUUCUUUUCUCCCUCAGAAAGGGAAUGCCUCGCAAACAUCCAUAUUCCAAAGAUUGCAUCUCUCCAAGGAAAGAGCCCAAGCUAGCUGGUGGGACGAAUCCAAGCAACCCAACAACAGCAUUCGAACAAGAAUGACUAACUUCAACCUGUUCAUUUAACGGAGAUCACAUCAAAAUUUGAAUUUGACAGAGGAGGUUGUUUUUGGUCUGCAGAUUAAGUGUUAUAUGAAGCAGUUGUUGUCGAUUCUCGGACAUUGUCAUUUUAGGGGUGUGAUGUAACAAAUAAGAUCUCUUUAUCACCGGAUAGUUUUUCUGUCAUUUGGUGAUGUCGUGCUAAGAUCAUGGUAGUCACUGAUGUGGUGGUGGUGGAUACAGAGGAGGAAACGGUGAAAGAGAGUAAAUCGAUGGAAAGAACUGAGCGGUUGCCACAGAAAACACAUGCAGCGUGAGUAGGCAAGAGGAGAGCAUAGCAGCUGCGGCGACAAGAACAGAGCGGUUAUAUCUAUUUAUUUCCUGUCACGGUGAAAGGGACAACAGCAAUGGUAGUAGGGUUACGGCAGUCGAAGAGGUUGCGGCGACAACUAUGGUAGUCGAGGAGUCUAAGGCAACGGUGGGCUCAGUGGUCACAGUGGAGUUCGUGGUAAGAGUUGACAUGGUGAUGGUGGAUAAGGUGAAAGAUGUGAUGACGGUCGUACAUGUACAGCCAUGGUGGGCUGGAUCAAGGAUUGCAACCAGGGAGGAGGCAGAUGCCAAGGUAGGUACGGCAGCGUUUGUGGCGGCGGAAGCUGCUACAACU